This 2512-nucleotide long non-coding RNA is filed under the name Mytilus galloprovincialis (Mediterranean mussel). The record is from RNAcentral. Lineage: Eukaryota; Metazoa; Mollusca; Bivalvia; Mytilida; Mytilidae.
GACUCUAUCACGACAAGUACACCACCUCACUUCAAUUUUUAUUUUACAUCAAGCAUUUCAAAACAGCAUAAUGUAAGUAUAUAUUUCAAUUUCGUAUAUGAAUUACCUUGUUUUAUUCAGUUUGUAGUAGUUAUUAGUUAAAAUAUUGCGAUGAUUAACGUUUUAUUGCAGUAUAUAAUAAGGGAAAAGCUUGGCCGACAUUCCCGUUAUGAAAAUUUUUAACAAGGUCGUAAUUUUUAUCAAAACAUUUUCAUUCGAAAAGGAAUAAAACAAUUUGUGUGAUGAAUAACUUUCCCCCAGACAUAUUGUUUUUUUGUUUCAUAAGUUACUGUUUUCAUAUUUUCACCCACUUUGAUGCAAUUAACAAUUAAAAACCAGUAUUCUGGUUGUCGGCCAUGUUUUUUUUGGCUUCAAUAUCAAGACAGACCCCUGUCUGUUUACAUUUUUUACACUUUUCCGUCUUCAGAGAAAUAUUGUACCCAGCACAUGCAUCACUUUCCUAUGACAAACUGAAUUGGGAUAUAGAGGUUGUAUUUUUCGGCCAUGUUUUUUUUUGGCUUCAAUAUCAAGACAGACCCCUGUCUGUUUACACUUUUUACACUUUUCCGUCUUCAGAGAAAUAUUGUACCCAGCACAUGCAUCACUUUCCUAUGACAAACUGGAUUGGGAUAUUGAGGUUGUAUUUUUCAUAUUUUCAACCACUUUGAUGCAAUGUACAAUUAAAAAUCAGUAUUUCCGCGGACUAUGACAGAUAAGCCCGUGCCUUGUGCAGGAUAUCUUAAUAGUUAUAAAUAUUUUACAAUAAAUUCUAAAUAAAGUAUUUCCGCGGACUAUGACAGAUAAGCCCGUGCCUUGUGCAGGAUAUCUUAAUAGUUAUAAAUAUUUUACAAUAAAUUCUAAAUAAAGUAUUUCCGCGGACUAUGACAGAUAAGCCCGUGCCUUGUGCAGGAUAUCUUAAUAGUUAUAAAUUUUUACAAUAAAUUCUAAAUGAAGUAUUUCCGCGGACUAUGACAGAUAAGCCCGUGCCUUGUGCAGGAUAUCUUAAUAGUUAUAAAUAUUUUACAAUAAAUUCUAAAUAAAGUAUUUUCGCGGACUAUGACAGAUAAGCCGUGCCUUGUGCAGGAUAUCUUAAGUUAGUAGUUAUAAAUUUUUCACAAUAAAUUCUAAAUAAAGUAUUUCCGCGGACUAUGACAGAUAAGCCCGUGCCUUGUGCAGGAUAUCUUAGUAGUUGUAAUUUUAGAGGCCCACCCUCACAUUGUUUAUUGCCUUGACGUGGCGUGUAGACUCCACUUUGGUGGUCUAAGAUGAACACGUUGAGGGAUUGUAUGCAAUCUUUCUUUUAUUCAUUCUAAACGAUUUCCUUGGUUGCCAUCUUGGAAAUACACACCGAUAUCCAUAAAUUUAUAAUGAUCAAUAUUAACUUACCUGCAACUUGUAAAUCAUUUUUAGGUUAUAAAAUACACUUCUAUUAUAAUUUUAUUCAAUAAUAUAUGUUUAAAAGUCACUCAAAUGUGUUAAUAUUGAUAUUUGAAGAGUCAUUCGGUCAUUACAUGUGUUAUUCGGAUAAUAACAGUGUUAUUCGGUCAUUCGUGUUACCCGUAUUAUAGCUGUCGGCCAUGGUGUUUUGCUUCAAUAUCAAGACAGACCCCUGUCUGUUUACACUUUAUAAACUUUUCCAUCUUCAGAGAAUUAUUGUACCCAGCACAUGCAUUACUUUCCUAUGACAUACUGGAUUUGUGUAUAUAGGAUUGUUUUUUUCAUAUUUUCAACCACUUUGAUGCAAUUUUCAAUUAAAAAUCAGUACUCAAGCUGUCGGCCAUGUUAAUUUUCUUCAAUAUAAAGACAGACCCCUGUCCAUGGCUACAGUUUAUAAACUUGUCCAUCUUUAGAGAAAAAUUGUACCCAUCACAUGAUUUAAUUUCACAAGACAUACUGGAUUUGUGUAUAAAAAUUGUUUUUUUCAUUAUUUCCACCACUUUGAUGACAUUUACAAUUUAUAUAUAUAUAUUUACAUUCAGUAUCUGACCGCUUUUUUUUUUAACAGGAUCCUGCAUGUUAUAAAAGAACAAAGAUGUUGAUCAAAUUUACCUAACAGUGCAGCAUACAAGAGAUAUAAUAUCAUACAUGUGCUGAAUGUAGGACUCCCAAGUCUUUCUGAUUGAAAAUAAGACUCCCUGGCAAACAGGAACAACUAUUAGUGAUGACUUUAUCCAAAUGUGACGGCACUGUCAUGUAGUGGACUGAUUACUACUAUCAAUGUGAUACUUAACAAUGGUUUUGUAAGAGAGAAAAUUACAUGUGCUUAUCCUGACUGUAAAAACACCAUACUAUUGUAGUUCAUAUGCCAAACUUGAUGUACAUGUGUAUGCGAUUUUUGUGCAAUUGAUGGCGAGACCAUUGAACUAAAAACAAAUACAAGACUCUGCAUUCAAUCUAUUGAAUUUGAAGCAGAAGUGAUACAGUGGCAGUUGUGCAGAUGGAUAAAAAAGCAAAUAAAUAUCUUGUGUUCAAC